UCAAGCUACUAAGAGCUGCUGACGGAUGCCUAGGCAUCAAAAGGCGAAGAAGGACGUGAUACCUGCGAUAAGCUUCGGCGAGCCGGACAAAAGGCUGUGACCCGGAGAUUUCCGAAUGGAGGAAUCCAGUAAGAUGAAAAUCUUAUUAUCUAUGUCUGAAUACAUAGGACAUAAGAGGCGAGACCCGCUGAAGUGACACAUCUCAGUAAGCGGAGGAGAAGAAAUCUAGAAGAGAUUCCCUAAGUAGCGGCGAGCGAAAAGGGAAGAGCCCAAACCGGAGAUUUUAUCUCCGGGGUUGUAGGACCUGUCAUAAAGUCAGGUGAUUCAUAGCAAAAUGGAAUGGAAAGUCCAGCGAAACAGGGUGAAAGCCCCGUAUGCGAAAUGAAGAUCAUAUGACGAGAUAGGCACCUGAGUAGGGCCGGACACGUGAAAUCCGGUCUGAAUCUAGGGGGACCACCCUCUAAGGCUAAAUACUCAUUGAUGACCGAUAGUGAACCAGUACCGCGAGGGAAAGGCGAAAAGAACCCCUGUAAGGGGAGUGAAAUAGAACCUGAAAUCAGCAGCUUACAAACGGUCGAAGGCCUAUACCACCAUAAGGUGGAAUGGCUGACGGCGUGCCUUUUGCAUGAUGAGCCAGCGAGUUAAGUUAUACGGCAAGGUUAAGAAACAAUCGUUUCGGAGCCGGAGCGAAAGCGAGUGUGAAUAGCGCGUUAAGUCGUAUGAUUUAGACACGAAACCAAGUGAUCUAUCCAUGGCCAGGAUGAAGCAAGGGUAACACCUUGUGGAGGUCCGAACCAGUGUCUGUUGAAAAAGCCUUGGAUGAGCUGUGGAUAGGGGUGAAAGGCUAAUCAAACUUGGAGAUAUCUUGUUCUCUCCGAAAUAACUUUAGGGUUAACCUCAGUCAAAUACAAUGUGGGGGUAGAGCACUGGAUCCACAAGGGAGACCACCGUCUUACCGAAGGGAACCAAACUCCGAAUACCAUAUUGAAGACUGGGAGAUAGACUGUGGGGGAUAAGCUUCAUAGUCAAAAGGGGAACAGCCCAGAUCGUCGAUUAAGGCCCCAAAUUCUAUGCUAAGUGAGUAAGGAAGUGAAGUUUCAAAGACAGUUGGGAUGUUGGCUUAGAGGCAGCCAUCAUUUAAAGAGUGCGUAACAGCUCACCAAUCGAGAGACUUUGCGCCGAUAAUUAACGGGACUGAAAGCAUAGAGCCGAAAUCACGGGUGUAUAUAGCAAUAUAUACGCGGUAGGAGAGCGUAGUAUAGGCGUAGAAGGCGUACCGCGAGGAGCGCUGGAGCGUAUACUAGUGAGAAUGCAUGGCAUGAGUAAACGAUAAAGGAAGUGAAAAUCUUCCUCGCCGAAAACCUAAGGUUUCCGGGGUAAAGCUCGUCUUAACCGGGUUAGCCGGACCCUAAGCUGAGGCUGAAAAGCGUAAGCGAUGGGAAGCAGGUUAAAUAUUCCUGCGCCACCGUAGAUUUAUACAAUGGGGUGACGAAGUAAGUUAAGCACGCGGACGAUUGGAAAUGUCCGUUUUAGCACGCGGCGGGCGGGGUCGGAAAAUCCACCCGCAAAAAGCCGGAUGCUAGACAAGGGGAAACGAAAGUGGAACUGAAGGUGUAGCGCGAGACUUCCAAGAAAUAACCUCUAGUUUUCGAAGGUGACCGUACCAAAACCGACACAGGUGGGUGUGAAGAAUAUUCUCAGGCGCGCGAGAGAACUCUCGUUAAGGAACUCUGCAAAUUAUCCCCGUAACUUCGGGAGAAGGGGAGCCGCAAUUUGUGACUAUCUUCGCGAUGGAAGCAAAAGGCGGCCGAAGAGAAAUGGCCCAGGCGACUGUUUAACAAAAACACAGCACUCUGCUAAGUCGUCUAAGACGAUGUAUAGGGUGUGAUGCCUGCCCAAUGCCAAAAGGUCAAAAGGAGAUGUCAGCCGCAAGGUGAAGCAUUGAAUUUAAGCCCUGGUGAAUGGCGGCCGUAACUAUAACGGUCCUAAGGUAGCGAAAUUCCUUGUCGGGUAAGUUCCGACCUGCACGAAUGGCCUAACGAUCUGGGCACUGUCUCAACGAGAGACUCGGUGAAAUUGUAGUAGCGGUGAAGAUGCCGUUUACCCGCAACAAGACGGAAAGACCCCGUGAACCUUUACUGUACUCUGAUAUCGGCUUCUGACUUUUCAUGUGUAGGAUAACCGGGAGACAUCGAAGAAAGCUCGUUAGGGCUUUUGGAGUCGCCGUUGAAAUACCGGUCUUGAAAAGUCGGAAAUCUAACCUCUUCCAGUGAAACCUGGAGAGAGACAGUGUCAGACGGGCAGUUUGACUGGGGCGGUAUCCUCCUAAAAAGUAACGGAGGAGUCCAAAGCUUACCUCAUCGUGGUUGGCAAUCACGAAAAGAGCGUAAAGGUAUAAGGUAGGUUAACUGCGAGACCAGCGAGUCGAGCAGAUACGAAAGUAGGGCUUAGUGAUCCGGCGGUAGAAAGUGGAAUCGCCGUCGCUUAACGGAUAAAAGGUACUCCGGGGAUAACAGGCUUAUCGCCACCAAGAGUUCAUAUCGACGUGGCGGUUUGGCACCUCGAUGUCGACUCAUCGCAUCCUGGGGCUGGAGAAGGUCCCAAGGGUUUGGCUGUUCGCCAAUUAAAGCGGUACGCGAGUUGGGUUCAAAACGUCGUGAGACAGUUUGGUCCCUAUCUGUUGUGGGCGUAGGAUACUUGAGAAGAGCUGCUUCUAGUACGAGAGGACCGAAGUGGACGAACCAAUGGUGUUCCGGUUGUACCGCCAGGUGCAUAGCCGGGUAGCUAUGUUCGGAAAGGAUAAGCGUUGAAAGCAUCUAAACGCCAAGCCUCCUUCAAGAUAAGGUAUCCCAAUGAGACACCCGGGAGAUGACCGGGUAGAUAGGUGAGAUGUGUAAGUACAGUAAUGUAUUGAGCUAACUCAUACUAAUCAGUUCAACGGCUUGAUCAC
Molecule: ribosomal RNA, 2950 nt
Filed under: freshwater metagenome
Description: bacterial LSU rRNA
Rfam family: Bacterial large subunit ribosomal RNA
Source: RNAcentral